UACGUAGGGUGCAAGCGUUGUCCGGAAUUAUUGGGCGUAAAGAGCUCGUAGGCGGUUUGUCGCGUCUGCUGUGAAAACUCAGGGCUUAACCCUGAGCCUGCAGUGGGUACGGGCAGACUAGAGUGUGGUAGGGGAGAUCGGAAUUCCUGGUGUAGCGGUGGAAUGCGCAGAUAUCAGGAGGAACACCGGUGGCGAAGGCGGGUCUCUGGGCCGAGUACUGACGCUGAGGAGCGAAAGCAUGGGUAGCGAACAGG
RNAcentral lists this ribosomal RNA (254 nucleotides) under uncultured bacterium. RNAcentral describes it as "partial 16S ribosomal RNA". It matches the Rfam family "Bacterial small subunit ribosomal RNA", at positions 524 to 776 of the family's 1533-position model. The record is from RNAcentral.